This 506-nucleotide ribosomal RNA is filed under the name uncultured Desulfobulbus sp. RNAcentral's name for it is "bacterial SSU rRNA". It matches the Rfam family "Bacterial small subunit ribosomal RNA", at positions 880 to 1382 of the family's 1533-position model. The record is from RNAcentral. Lineage: Bacteria; Pseudomonadati; Thermodesulfobacteriota; Desulfobulbia; Desulfobulbales; Desulfobulbaceae.
UUGCCAGCCCGCUCAGAAACUCAAAGGAAUUGACGGGGCCCGCACAAGCGGUGGAGUAUGUGGUUUAAUUCGAUGCAACGCGAAGAACCUUACCUGGUCUUGACAUCCCGGAGACCCUUAGGAAACUAGGGGGUGCUUCCAUCUGGAAGAAUCUGGAGACAGGUGCUGCAUGGCUGUCGUCAGCUCGUGUCGUGAGAUGUUGGGUUAAGUCCCGCAACGAGCGCAACCCUUGCCUUUAGUUGCCAGCAGUUCGGCUGGGCACUCUAAAGGGACUGCCGGUGUUAAACCGGAGGAAGGUGGGGAUGACGUCAAGUCCUCAUGGCCUUUAUGACCAGGGCUACACACGUACUACAAUGGCCGAUACAAAGGGCAGCGACACUGCGAGGUGAAGCCAAUCCCGUAAAAUCGGUCUCAGUCCGGAUUGGAGUCUGCAACUCGACUCCAUGAAGUUGGAAUCGCUAGUAAUCGUGGAUCAGCAUGCCACGGUGAAUACGUUCCCGGGCCUU